UUUUAACACAUUGACUUCUAUCCGUUAAGUAGCUACUAAACCAAUUGUGUGCUACUCCUCUAAUACCUACUCGGAUAAGUUUCUGCAAAAGUAUUGGAAUGGAGACAAAUUCAAAUUCAAAAUAAUCUUUAUUUCAUAGGACAAAGAUUCUAUUGAUAUCGGCGGCAUUACCCCAGUGUCAAAUGCCUUAGUGAGAUCAAGGAACACCCCAAGACAGCGUCUGUUGUUGUCCAAGGCAGAAGAGAUCAGAUUCGUCAGGAGUAACACGGCAUCCUCUGUUGAUUUACCACGCCUGAAACCAAAUUGCCUAUCAGACUUUUUUACAAAACAAUGAUCCAGACAUGCUUCACCUCGGGUUGGCUUAGUGAUAGCUGGCAGCAGUUGGUGCUCUGUUAAGAUACAUAAGUAUUCUGAGCACUGCUCACUCAAAGGUACGGAACAUAUAUCGAGAUUCAGAUCGCCAGUAAUUAUGAUAUUACGCAAACUCCUGGCAUUACAUAGGACAGCGUCCAGAGAACGAAGGAAGCCGCUGGCAUUUGUGAAGGACGGGGAGCGGUAUAUACUAAAGAUCAUAAGGUCAUUUGAGAUAAUGAUUUGUUAAAAUGAAACAUGUGAAAUGCAAAAGUGUAUGCGAAUUCACUGCAAAAACGUGAUGACAAUCAUCAAAUCACAAAAGCACUAAAAUGGUUACGCUACCUGUAGCAGCAGAUGGCAUUCACCCAUUUGAGAUUUCUGCAUCGCGGAGUUAAAUUUAUUUUCCGUGGCCUCGCCCUUUUGUCCGGUGGCGCAACCAAGUCCAGCCAGCAGCAGUUGGCCGCUAAAUAUCUUUCAGAAAAAACACCUACGUAAAACGAUUCGACUGUGCAAUAUUA
Long non-coding RNA from Hyposmocoma kahamanoa, 872 nucleotides. RefSeq lists it as uncharacterized. The transcript is spliced from 3 exons. The record is from RefSeq and is a predicted model, not a curated record. NCBI's taxonomy places the organism in Eukaryota, Metazoa, Arthropoda, Insecta, Lepidoptera, Cosmopterigidae.